Non-coding RNA from Phoenix dactylifera (date palm), 7509 nucleotides. NCBI's taxonomy places the organism in Eukaryota, Viridiplantae, Streptophyta, Magnoliopsida, Arecales, Arecaceae. The record is from RefSeq and is a predicted model, not a curated record.
UUCGACUUUCUCCCGCUUGGUUCAGACAACGCGACAGCGAGCGAGAAAAGAGAAGAGAGGAUGAGAGAGCGAGGGAGACGCAGGAAAGAAGGAAGAAGGCGUCGCACCGAGCGGUGGACGAGAGGCACACACAGUUGAAACUCUACGAUUAUUACACCUAGCUAGGGUUUCGAUCCAAUGCCGGUACUCCGUCUCUCCGCCCCUCUCUCGUCUCCCUCCUCUAUUUCUCGUUCUUCGUCUUCCUUUUCCGUUUCUUUGCCCAGCUAGGGUUUCGAUCGAAUGCCAAAGGGUUUCGCGCCAUUAGAGCUCCGUUUCUUGUUUCACUUCUUGUCGUUGUUCGAGUUCUUGGAGGUAAUAGUCACAUUGUCUGUUGGAGGUUUUGAUUUUUUGGUUUACUUCUUCUGUUUCUUGAUUCUAACUUUUUUCUUUACUUCUUAUGUUUCUUGAUUCAUAUUUUUGGUGGCGGCUCUGGGAGUUUGUGAGGAUGAAACAAGUGCGGUGUUGGUGUAUUUAGAGGAGUAGAUGGUGAAGGAAGAGCUUGACGCAGAGCUGGUAUACAUCAUGUGUCGGCGACCUCAACCAAUUAUGGAGGGAAAUAUCUCUUGUCGGUUGGUGUCUUGAUAAGUUGAGGCGUGCAGUAGAGCUUGUUAAAAAGAAUGGGUAAUGUUUCUAUCUCUCUGAAUGGGAAGGUAAGCUUCUGUAUUACUGGUCUCUUGGCUAUAGAAAUUAUCUUUUCUUUGUGGUAACAUCUUGAUAUGAUCGUGAAUAUUUUCUUGCGUUGUUCUAUGAUAGAUCUGUUGUGAUGUACCUUUAUGAGCUUUCUUUGCUGGUUAUUCUUACGGGAUCUAAAGGAUCCCAAGAGAUCUGGUAUAACAAUCCUUUUAGCGAUUUUGAUGUGAAAUUGUACAACUAUGAAAUAAUGCUGGCGAUUUUUGCCUGGCCAGGAGCUCAGCCUCACCAGCUGCACCUACGGCAUCUUGCCUUUUCUCACUCACGCUUAAAAAUUGGAUGGGAAAAGCUCUAUUUCAGAAGAAUAAAGAAGAAGAAAAUUGGAAAACAUCAGAAGAUAGUAUUCAAAAGCAGAAAUCCUGGGGAGGAACAAAGAAAAUCUUGUGAGACUUUGCAAUAUUCAGGGAUUUUACAGGUUGUUUCAAUUGCGUCCAUAAUAAUUAGGGCAAUGGAGAAUAUUAGCAUAAUUUAGUAAUUGUCCUUCUUGAAAUAUUUUAUUCUUCAACUGAUCAAAGCAGUACUGGAAACCUUGUUAAAUUUAAUUAGUCAGUAGGCUUAUUGCUUGCUUUUGGCUUGUGAGACAUUACCUCGUCAGCUUCCAAGAUUUAGAAUUAACAAAGUUAGUAAAAUAUUCUUCAUGUAGAGGCAACCAAAAGAGCUGCUUAAGUGAAUAUGUUUAUUUCAUUUGAUCAAAUUUUAGAACUAAAAUGUGUAGAGAGAGCAGGAGAUUAGUUCAUUUUCCAUCUUCUUUGACACAAUAAAGGAAAACGAUGACUGAUAAAAUUGAAUGAAGGGCUGAUUGAUGUAUCCAGGUCCUUUUUGUUGUUUUUACACUUUCUAUUCUUGCAUCCAUUUUAUGCGAUACAAAAGGAUAGAUGAUGUUUCUGAUCCAUGGUCAAUGCAGUGGUUGGUUUCUUACCGAUUAAUAUUAUUUCUGUUUCUCAUAUAUCAUUACGCUUCCUUUGUUUAGGUUGAUUGCUGUAUGUGCAAUAAAUGUGUCUAUACUGGUGAAAAAGUAUGAUAAUCAGUUAAAGGUUGUUGAAAACCUUUUCAUUGGACGUGCACAAAGCAAAAAUUUGGACUUCCAACCACCAUAAAAUUUCAAGUGCCCUGAAAAAUGUAAAGUUUUUUUCCCCCAAAUAUAAUAAAGCUGUAGCUGUACCCUUUUUAUUGUUACUCACAUUUGUAUGCGAGGGUUUUACAUGUUGAGUGUUGGUUGUUAGUUUGUUUCAUGGUCUUAUAUCAUAGCCUUAUUUUCCUUGUUUGUGCAUGGCUCUAAUACUUUUUUUCCUCAACUUCUCUCUCUCUCUCUCACACACACACACACACACACAAACAUGCCUAUAAAUGGCAUAUUGGUACUAAUCCGCCGCAAGAAAAUAACAAGCAAAAUUCAUUUUGUACGGAUGAUGCACACACACACAGACAUAUAUUUAUGUUUGGUGUUAUUUGAUAAACAAUACUUCUUAGAUAAGUAGAAAUUAGCAAGCAUGUUUCUACAGAAACUAGUUUAUGCCUUGUGCCUAUUCACAGCUGCUACUCUGAUUCUCAUAACUGAUGAUUUUGUCUUGCUGAAAAGUAGACUCAAUAGUGAUGCAAGUUGAUUGGCUAAAUCCUAAUUCAAAUCAUCAUGUAUUCUACUCACCCAAAAUUGAUCAUGUAGGCUGGACCUCCAAGUUGUUCUUGUACACUUAAAACCUGAAUCGACUUGGAUAAAAAUCUAAAAUGUGGACUGAUAUUCCUACCAUGAAAUAUAGUGGAUUUGAUAUUGCUUUGGAUUAUAAGAUAGAUACAUAAAACUCAGAUCCAAAACCAACUAAUUUUGGACUCGAAAUCCUACAUUUAUAUCCAACUGAGGUCAGACCUACUCAUGCUAGAUCUAACUGCUAUCAGAGUGGUAAAAAAGUUAUUAUACUUUAUGUGUCCAUCAAACAUUUAGCAGGUAAAAUACUUCUCUUUGAAGCAUUACAUUAGAAGUGCUUCUGGAUCAGAAAAGCAUAGCAUUAGAAGUACAACCUUAGAAAUCUUACAAGUGAACGAGCAUGGAACAGUGAACAGAUUGAUGGAAGACAGUUCUGAACCAGAUAUUCUGUGGAUGGGUUGAAUGAGUAUAGGACUAGAUCUGAAGAACCAUGGCCGAACUUGGAUUAUCUGGUGCUGGCUUACCAGGGAAGAUUAGCUUUUUCACCAUGUGAAGGUCAGGUUAAUGUAUUUAUCAUUUGAUCUUGUGAUGUUCACAUUUAGGGAUAGGAAGUAAAGAAUAGAAAGUUAAUACAAAGAUAUAUAACAGGUAAAAAAUUUUAGUUGUUAAAUACUGAUAGUUCUACCAUUAUGCUUUGCAAGAUAAUAUAGUUACUCUGUUGAUAAGUUCUCAAUCUGUUGUAUAGAUCACAGUUGCAGCAAAUAAAGAUGGUGAAAGUAAUGGAAGGAAAGAUUCGGGUGAAAAAUGUAUUCUGCUCUCAUCUUUCUUUUAAUAACAAAUCUGGAAAAAAAGAUUUUCAUGUCAGCUUUAAAGCUGAAAUUGCAACAAUUCCUUGCCUUUCCUGUGCUUCUUACUCUUUAUUCCUUCAUCUUGAUAUGGUGACAUCUGCAAUGGGAGCAAUCAACAUAGAAGAAUCAUCAAUGUGUCUACUUUUCUGAAUGGGCAGGCAAACUUUAAGGUUAUCGUUAUCAUGGAUAUUAACUUUGUUUGCUGGUUAUUCAUGAAUUAAAUGUUUGUAAAUUAAAGGACUCUAAGAGAUAUCUUAUAAGAACCUUCAUGGAAAUUUUGAUGGGGUGAAAAUUGAAAUUUUGCUGGUGAUUUUGGCCCAGCCAGGAGGUUGGCCUUGCCGACUGGGCCUAUUGCUCUGCUGGUGAUCUUCGGAGGUUGUCAACCUUAGGAUCAAGUCAUGUUGAUGCAUUGGUGGGUAAUCCUGUAGUUCUUACUUUUUUUCUUUCUUCUUGUGUAUGAUUUAAUCAUCUUUUCAGUGCUUUACAACACGAGAGGACUUGAAUGGAAUUUCUUUCUUUCUUUCUUUCUUCUCUUCUUCCUUCUUUUUUCAUGCUGGAUGGAUUUCUUAUUUCUUGUGAAAUAUUCUUGUGCUACCUUUGAUUUUUUUGGAAUAUUUCAUUGUUAGAAUGCUUGAGUAGAACUACUGCAUUGCAGUUUCCUUGUAGUUUCUUGUUUUCUUCCUUCCUCCCUUUCUUCGAUCCUUCUCCAUGCCUAAUAGAUUUGUCUUAUAUCUCGAGAAAGAUUUGAUCUUGUGCUAUUUUACUAGUAUGUUAAGUAAUUUUAGUGUUGGUAAAUUUGAAAGAAUUACUUUCUCAUUCAUUUCUUUCUUUCUCUUCUGUGCUCAGCAGAUUUCUUAUAUAUUGUGAAAGAUUUGAUCUUUUGUCAUUUGACUGAUUUAUUCAGUGAUUUCAGGAUUGGAAUGGUUGCAUAGAAUUAUUAUAGUGCUCUUCUCCCUUUUCUAUGCUCGAUAGAUUUCCUCUUUCUCAUAAAUGAUUUGAUUUUGUGCUAUUUUACUAAUGUGUUUGGUGUUUUUGAAUCUUUGAUGGUUUAAUGCUUGAAUGGAUAAUUGCUUUGCAGUUUCCUUCCUUCUUUCUUUUCUUGAUUGAUAGAACUCUUUUUAAAAUUGAACUUGAUAAUGGCUUAUGAUUUAUGAGGACUAACAUGGAUAUUAGUUAAUAAAAUGUAUUGUUUAGCCCUAUUUUCAUUUUGUGUUUCUUUGAGAAUAUUUAUAGAAUCAGGCCAAUUUGAGUUUAUAUAGGAAGGCAUCGGAUGUUGAGGUGUAGGAGAUUGCAAUAAACACUGAUUAUCAAAUGCAAUAAUAGCAGUAUUAUAAGCAAAAAUAUGUUUACACAAAUUUGUAAGCAUGAGGUAUCAUAUUAUGAUUGUUUUUACUAGCAGCGGCUGGGCACAUAAGUGAAACAAAGAUGAAAAUGCCGAGGUGGAAGAGGAUGAAUCAUGUUAAACACACUAAUGUUGAACACACUAAGGAAAAGUUGGUUGAUAUAUGUUGAAUGGUUACCAGGAAAUUAAGAGUAGUAUAAGAUAACUUGAGUAGUGAAGGGAUUUUAAAAGCACAAAAUGAUGGUAGAUGUAUCCUCUGUGGAAAGUUAUGACACCAGAGGCCUUAAAAAAGCUCAUUCCAAAUUACAGAUAAGCUUAUUAGUUAUGCUUUCUAAGAGAAACAAGUAACUUUAUUUGUAUUUCCAACUCUCAUUCCUUCAAAAAUGGGAUACGAAAAUAAAUUUCUAUGAUUUUAAUGAUCUUUGUAAUACACAUCUUGCUUCUGUUUUCUUAGUGGAACACCAACAUUGUUUGAUAUUUUCAUUUAGAAAAACGUUUUACCACACUACUCCUUUACUGCAUCAGUCCCUGCGUGCUAGAAUUAUCAUGGCCCCAUGGGAAGAUGAUAUCUUCUCAUCUUCCUUUGGGAAGAUGAUAUCUUCUCAUCUUCCUUUGGUGCGUACGAAAAUAAACACUACUCCUUUGGUGCUUGUAUUUCCUGCUUGUGUAGUGAAGAUGAUAUCUGUCUCAUGUUCACAUUUUGCUUCUUUCUCAAAUACGGUUACCGUUUUAUUCAUUUUUUAUUGGAUGUCCUCUUAUGUUUGUUUUCAUUAGCUAGCAUUUUUUUUUUUCUAAUUUCCAAUCAUCUGUCCUCUUCCAUAAGUAAUCCGUAACAAAGCCCUGCUCAUGAUAACAUUGCCUAUGGUACCAGCUUUGAAUCAUCAAAGUUUCUGCUAGUGCCAAACAAUAUCUAUUAGCAGGUUUCAUUGCUUACAUUGGAGUCAUGAUCCUGUAGGGGGAAGCCUAAUAAAAAUGAACAGUUUCCUUAGUUUCAUGCAGUAUUGUCCGAGGUCACAGCUUGUCAAAGUGAACUUCAAAGUCUUUUCAUCGAGGUGUUCUGUGUUUCUUUCAGCCAGCCAUGUCCUCAGCAGUUGAAAUAGGAUCCUUGUCAACAAAUUGAGCUGGAAAUCUGCAUGUAUUAUUAGAUGAGAAAGAUAACUCCAUUGUGCAUUUGGAUGACAAUGCAUAAUUACAUGCUAAAUGGCAUUGUUGACUGUGGUGAGAGACAAACAUCUAUGGACGAGUUGUGCUUCUUGUGGAGCAAGUUGAAGUGAGCAAGGGAAGCCCAAUAAUUACUUGUCUAUUAGAAGGCAGGCAGGGAAGAGAGCGCUAGAGGGCGAGAAAGGGAGGGAGCCAAAGCGGAAGAGGGGAGGGAGAGGACAGAGGUUCACGGGGCCUGAUCCCCACUGGUUUUAAAAAAGACAUUGACAGGCUCUUUUCUUUUCUUUUUUUUUCUUUUAAUCUCACAAGGGAUUGGGCUCGCAACCCUCCAUGAUCUCCUGUUCCCUUCUUCACCUCCCCCUCUAUAUCCACCAAUCCCACUGAUGUCCAGGUGGUGCAAGGGCUGAAUGUAUUUGUGAAAAAGUCAACAGCUGAGGCAUUGCAGUGUGAGCUGUAUCUUGUUUCACUUUAAAGCCUUCUCUUUUUCUGUAUUUUUGAUUCUGCACAAGGAAAAGAAUGUGUAAGGAUGGAAAUAAUUUAUUACUGGCAUGUGCUCUCUGUAGGGGCUACCAAGCACAAACCAAUAAAAAUGAUGACAAUAGUGUUAACAAUCAUCCGGAUUGUUCAAGUUGCACCAUACUUGUGUCAGAUGUUAGAUUUUAUUGCUUCUUCUAAUGAACUCUUAUAUAGACCAUGAUUUUAGGCUUUUUUUUUUUUCUGGGAGGGUUAAAGGAGGGAAGGACCCACCAAAUUUAUCAAGGAAAGGGGAAAAGAUAAAAAAAAUUAUGAGAAAAUAAGCAGAAGCAGAAGUGGAAAAUACAAAAAGUUAGAGGAAGGAAGAGAAGAGAAAAGGAAGGCAGUAAGUUUUCUAAACAAACUAAAUUCGACCACUUCUGCCAAUCAUUGUUUCAUUCCCCACAAGAUUCGUGCUGGGGGGGUGGUGUUGGGUUGAUAUAGGUCAUGCUCAACAGGGUUGCCCAAUCCAUAAGUCCAGCAGAAAAUUCAGUCCAAUCUUGCUAGAUUAUGCAAACAGGCCCUUAUGUUCUUGGUAUAUAAAUCAAUAUAUGCACUCCCACUUUUAACUACUGCACCCAAUAAUGAAGAUCAUAUUUACCAGAAUCACUUCAGACAAAAGUUGGGCAAUGGUCCGAUGUCCGCUCCUCCAACCCCCCCCCCCACCUAGAGCAUAUGCAUCAGAUAGAGGAGAAACAAACACUUGGCAUGUGCUAAGCAUGUUACUAGAUUAGGAUAAAGGAUCACAUGCCUCCUCCACUUUUGGUUGUUGUACCUGUGUUUCUCCUUCUCAAAAUAUAGCUAAUCUGUCCUAUUUUUUGUUCAGUUCUUGUCCCAGUGUUGGCUAUACAACAGGAGGUGCCCCUCCCAAAAACAACAUGCUAUCUUGCUUGCCUUCAUCCAUGCAUAAAUCCUGCACCCUGCAGACCAUAUGCACCCAUCAGGGUACUCGGAUUCCACAAGUUCCUUGCAAAUCAGCAGCACUUCAGUCAUGUGGGAUGCAGUGAUGCCUGUCAGUUUAUGCUGCAAGAUAUGAUCUUCAACCUCUUCUUUUAACUAGAGCGACAAGUGAAAUGCCACUUUUCCGUGCAUGUAUCCUGUGGGACUCUCGGGCCACUUAUUUGGCAUUUAUCAUGCUGAUGAGAACUGAGAAGUCAAUUUGGAAUUUCAGUGUUUGGAAUACUGUAAAUUGUCAUAUCAUGCAUAACCACUCUUUACUGCAUUAUGUGCUGCGGAAUUUGCAUGAUAUAAAUUGUGAGUAAUGAUUUAGGUAA